GUCUAUGUCGAUUAGUGGUUAAAUCACCUCGUUGUGGUCGCUUGCGAUUCCGAGGAGCCCUGUGUUCGACUCACAGCAUGGACA
Sistotremastrum niveocremeum HHB9708 is the source of this 84-nucleotide non-coding RNA. The record is from the annotation of a GenBank genome assembly. NCBI's taxonomy places the organism in Eukaryota, Fungi, Basidiomycota, Agaricomycetes, Sistotremastrales, Sistotremastraceae.